Long non-coding RNA from Apis florea (little honeybee), 872 nucleotides. Lineage: Eukaryota; Metazoa; Arthropoda; Insecta; Hymenoptera; Apidae. The record is from RefSeq and is a predicted model, not a curated record.
UCUUUUAUUUCUCUCUAUUUUGUAAAUAAUGUUUCUUCCAAGGAAACAUUUUAAACAUUUCUCAAAAUGAAUAUACACAAGCAAAAGACAUGAGCGUGAUUCAACUUGAGAAAAUAAAAAAGUGUCAAACCUUCGGUGUAUCAUUCCGCAUAUUCAAUUGAAAAAAAUUGAAAAAAUGAUAUUUGCUUCCUCUACAAUAUAACGAUAGGUUAGUCGUACAACGGCACGUAUAAUUUUACAACAGAAGUGCGGCUCGUGGCGCGAAAUAACAACCGAGAGACGUAUUAUUGAAAGGGUCCAGUUAUCUGUAAGGGGUAACAGAGGGAGUCCGCGGCUAGAAAUGAUCGUGUACGAAUGCAAAAGCAAAGGGCAGCAGAGGCGAAUCAGCGGGGCGUGACCGAGGGAGCACGGUAGCGCAAUUGCGAGCCACGUGCCAGUCGCGUGGCACCAACCGACGAUUGGGCCGCGAUGCGAUGGCACGUCGGGACGACGACGGCCCGACGGGACGCCGGGACGCCGCUCACUAUCUCGUAAUGUCCUAUUCCGGUGUGUCAUGUGCGAGAGGAUCGUUGGGCCCAGCGGAGCACGACGGCACGCGACCACGGAAACUUCUUCUUUCUCUCUUUCCCUUUCUCUUCUUCGUUCGAGCUCGAGCGUUGUUUGUUUGAUUCGAACAGCUUGAACGUAAGACAGUAAUCACCGCUUGUAUAAAGGAUUUAUCGCUGGUAACGGGAAGAUAAUGACUGUAUGAUUAUCUUAAGUAUCAUCCACUGUUUCGUUCCGUCUUCCGUAUUUUCAUCACUAUCAAGCUAUCGUUACAAGAUACGCAAUUUACAUUCUUCACACUCUGUAACAUUUUAUAAAUGCAAACG